AAAAACGACGUCGUUUUAGAUUAUUAACGGAAAAUUAACUCCGUUAUCUUUCUGUUGACGGAAAUUUUACGGUAUGCUUAAAAUGUCCCAGUCAACAAAACUUAACUAUUUU
RNAcentral lists this small RNA (112 nucleotides) under Arabidopsis thaliana (thale cress). RNAcentral describes it as "ATSL210780". The record is from RNAcentral. Lineage: Eukaryota; Viridiplantae; Streptophyta; Magnoliopsida; Brassicales; Brassicaceae.